RNAcentral lists this ribosomal RNA (301 nucleotides) under uncultured bacterium. RNAcentral's name for it is "partial 16S ribosomal RNA". It matches the Rfam family "Bacterial small subunit ribosomal RNA", at positions 509 to 809 of the family's 1533-position model. The record is from RNAcentral.
CAGUCGCCGCGGUAAUACGUAGGUCCCGAGCGUUGUCCGGAUUUAUUGGGCGUAAAGCGAGCGCAGGCGGUUAGAUAAGUCUGAAGUUAAAGGCUGUGGCUUAACCAUAGUACGCUUUGGAAACUGUUUAACUUGAGUGCAAGAGGGGAGAGUGGAAUUCCAUGUGUAGCGGUGAAAUGCGUGGAUAUAUGGAGGAACACCGGUGCGAAAGCGGCUCUCUGGCUUGUAACUGACGCUGAGGCUCGAAAGCGUGGGGCGCAACCAGGAUUAGAUACCCCUGUAGUCCCUGUCUCUUAUACAC